This 253-nucleotide ribosomal RNA is filed under the name uncultured bacterium. Its description in RNAcentral is "partial 16S ribosomal RNA". It matches the Rfam family "Bacterial small subunit ribosomal RNA", at positions 524 to 776 of the family's 1533-position model. The record is from RNAcentral.
UACGGGGGGGGCAAGCGUUGUUCGGAAUUACUGGGCGUAAAGGGCUUGUAGGUGGCCAACUAAGUCAGACGUGAAAUCCCUCGGCUUAACUGGGGAACUGCGUCUGAUACUGGAUGGCUUGAGAUUGGGAGAGGGAUGCGGAAUUCCAGGUGUAGCGGUGAAAUGCGUAGAUAUCUGGAGGAACACCGGUGGCGAAGGCGGCAUCCUGGACCAACACUGACACUGAGGAGCGAAAGCCAGGGGAGCAAACGGG